Molecule: long non-coding RNA, 779 nt
Organism: Arabidopsis lyrata subsp. lyrata
Lineage: Eukaryota; Viridiplantae; Streptophyta; Magnoliopsida; Brassicales; Brassicaceae
Exons: 2
Source: RefSeq, a predicted model, not a curated record
CUUAUAAUAUCACUAUUACAUUUCUUGAUUUUCUUUUGUAAUAAAAAUUGAGAAUAAAUAUAAAGAAAAAUUUAAAAUAAGAAAAGGGCUACGUUCUUCUAGCAACCUCCUUUCAUUCGUUUCUUCUACUCAGCUUUCUUAUCUCUCUCUCUGUCUCGGACCAUUCGCACAGCUCUGCCUUCUCCCGUCGACCAUUCGAUUACGGGAGUGUAUUGAGCUAAAACAAAAUGGCUCUAAUACAAUUUGGAAGAACAUGUGUUGCUCAAUGGAGUAUUCGUCCUCAAUUUGCAGUGAGAGCUUGUUAUUCAACCACACUCGAAUCAUAAAGAAACGUGUAUUUUACUUGGUUUGGGAGAAGUUUGAUUUAAGAUUAUAUAUACAGAUUAGACCUGUGAGAACAUGAGAAAGGCAGACAAACCACCUGGGAGCUAAGUUAGGAUCAGCGAUGGGAAUCUAAAGGAGAUGAAACUGUAGGAUUGAUUUCUCGGCUCAGACUCUCUAACUCUUCGUCACUGAAGAGCUGUCUGAGGAUGGUGGAAGCUCCUCCGGCCAACCAUUUGUCAUCCAGGCGGUGGCUGUAGACUCCAUACCUCGCAUCAUCGACCCUUUUGGUGCUGAGAAGUUCAAUAGCUAAGGUCGAGCCCAGUAUUAGAGUGUAUAUAGUUGGUUUAGUUAUGGUUUAGAUUGGUUAGUAUAUUUGGUUUAGUUUAGUUUGUAUUUAAGCUUGCUUUGUAUCACCAUUUACAAUUAAUGAAGAUUUUCACGAUUAUUGAAACCCA